RNAcentral lists this ribosomal RNA (515 nucleotides) under uncultured bacterium. RNAcentral's name for it is "bacterial SSU rRNA". It matches the Rfam family "Bacterial small subunit ribosomal RNA", at positions 61 to 567 of the family's 1533-position model. The record is from RNAcentral.
GUCGAGCGGUAACAGGGGGGGCUUGCUUCCCGCUGACGAGCGGCCGACGGGUGAGUAAUGCAUAGGAAACUGCCCAGUAGUGGGGGAUAGCUCGGGGAAACCCGGAUUAAUACCGCAUACGCCCUUUGGGGGAAAGCAGGGGAUCUUCGGACCUUGCGCUAUUGGAUGUGCCUAUGUCGGAUUAGCUAGUUGGUGGGGUAAGAGCCUACCAAGGCGACGAUCCGUAGCUUGGUCUGAGAGGAUGAUCAGCCACAUCGGGACUGAGACACGGCCCGAACUCCUACGGGAGGCAGCAGUGGGGAAUAUUGGACAAUGGGGGCAACCCUGAUCCAGCCAUGCCGCGUGUGUGAAGAAGGCUUUCGGGUUGUAAAGCACUUUCAGUGAGGAGGAAAACCUUACGAUUAAUACUCGUGAGGCUGGACGUUCUCACAGAAGAAGCACCGGCUAACUCCGUGCCAGCACCCGCGGUAAUACGGAGGGUGCAGGCGUUAAUCGGAAUUACUGGGCGUAAAGCU